GAGCGAAACCGCCCCGGCCUGGCCGGGACGGUCUGCCGGACGUGGUGGUCCGGU
Molecule: non-coding RNA, 54 nt
Filed under: Pseudomonas aeruginosa
Lineage: Bacteria; Pseudomonadati; Pseudomonadota; Gammaproteobacteria; Pseudomonadales; Pseudomonadaceae
Source: RNAcentral